This is a long non-coding RNA of Coregonus clupeaformis (lake whitefish), 1114 nucleotides long. RefSeq lists it as uncharacterized. The transcript is spliced from 2 exons. NCBI's taxonomy places the organism in Eukaryota, Metazoa, Chordata, Actinopteri, Salmoniformes, Salmonidae. The record is from RefSeq and is a predicted model, not a curated record.
CUGUCUACCAGGUAUAUAACGUUCCCAUACGAUGCAGGUGACCAGCCAAACAUCAAAGCGCAAUUUGCAGCGAUAGCCGGUUUUCCUAAUGUAAUCGGAGCGAUCGACUGCACACAUAUUGCUAUAAAGGCGCCAUCUGAAGACGAAUUUGCAUAUGUGAAUCGGAAACAUUUCCAUUCAAUAAAUGUGCAGAUUAUAUGUGAUGCACAAAUGCGCCUAACAAAUAUUGUGGCAAGGUGGCCUGGGUCAACCCAUGAUUCAUAUAUCCUUACAAACAGCAUGGUUGGGAUGAGACUCCAAGCUGGCAGGGUGCACGAUGGGUGGCUACUUGGUAAGUUAUGCAUUUAAAUGUAUGGUUCUAUCUAAAAGUAAAAUGUUUGUGUCUGUAAUUAUUAUUACUGCCCAUCAGGAGACAGUGGUUAUCCACUAAAGACGUGGCUGUUAACCCCCUCACCAACCCACAAACUGACCGAGAGCGCAGAUACAAUGAUGCCCAUUCCCGCACUCGGUCAGUUGUGGAGCGGGCGAUUGGGCAGCUGAAAUGUCGGUGGCGCUGCCUUGACAGGACCGGGGGAUGCUGUUAUACCGCCCUGACAAGGUUUGCCGCAUCAUACUGGCCUGUGGAGUGCUGCACAAUGUCGCGCACAGGCAUGGCAUACCCCUUGGUGAGGUGGGGGCACCGCCAGAUGACCCUGACCCAGGACCAGUAUAUGUGCAGCACAAUCAACAAGCCAUUCAGGCCCGUCAACGUGUAAUUGCGACAAUAUAAAUGAACAGCAUGCGUCAAGACACGGCCAGAUGGACGGGCUUCAGCACUGGGGGGAACAUUAGAGACACGGGAGACGCUGGACUGAAUGGGCUCUGGCUGCUCAGGUGGUGCGGACUCUGAGUGCGUGCCAGUGGACGUUCCUGCGGUUCCUAAGUCCAAUUAAACACAGGCACAUCUUAACAGUAAUUUGAGUCUGUUCCUUAUUAAUGGGUACACGCAUUUGCAAUAAAAGCAGUGGAUACGUGAAAUCUCUGGUGUACCUUUUGCUAUAUUGCAUGCAUUUUAAAAUUAAACGGUGGCUGGCUAUGUAUAUCAAAGUUAAGGAAAUAAAUCUGAGUCACCUUG